Molecule: ribosomal RNA, 399 nt
Filed under: uncultured bacterium
Lineage: Bacteria
Description: bacterial SSU rRNA
Rfam family: Bacterial small subunit ribosomal RNA
Source: RNAcentral
AUUGAACGCUGGCGGCAUGCCUUACACAUGCAAGUCGAACGGCAGCACGGGAGCUUGCUCCUGGUGGCGAGUGGCGAACGGGUGAGUAAUACAUCGGAACGUACCCUGAAGUGGGGGAUAACGUAGCGAAAGUUACGCUAAUACCGCAUAUUCUGUGAGCAGGAAAGAGGGGGGAUCGCAAGACCUCUUGCUUUAGGAGCGGCCGAUGUCGGAUUAGCUAGUUGGUGAGGUAAAGGCUCACCAAGGCGACGAUCCGUAGCGGGUCUGAGAGGAUGAUCCGCCACACUGGGACUGAGACACGGCCCAGACUCCUACGGGAGGCAGCAGUGGGGAAUUUUGGACAAUGGGCGCAAGCCUGAUCCAGCCAUGCCGCGUGAGUGAAGAAGGCCUUCGGGUUGU